AAAACCAGGACGAACGCUGGCGGCGUGCUUAACACAUGCAAGUCGAGCGGUAAGGCCUUUCGGGGUACACGAGCGGCGAACGGGUGAGUAACACGUGGGUGAUCUGCCCUGCACUCUGGGAUAAGCUUGGGAAACUGGGUCUAAUACCGGAUAUGACCACAGCAUGCAUGUGUUGUGGUGGAAAGAUUUAUCGGUGCAGGAUGGGCCCGCGGCCUAUCAGCUUGUUGGUGGGGUAAUGGCCUACCAAGGCGACGACGGGUAGCCGACCUGAGAGGGUGACCGGCCACACUGGGACUGAGACACGGCCCAGACU
This 313-nucleotide ribosomal RNA is filed under the name uncultured bacterium. RNAcentral's name for it is "bacterial SSU rRNA". It matches the Rfam family "Bacterial small subunit ribosomal RNA", at positions 26 to 337 of the family's 1533-position model. The record is from RNAcentral.